Molecule: long non-coding RNA, 3908 nt
Organism: Mytilus californianus (California mussel)
Lineage: Eukaryota; Metazoa; Mollusca; Bivalvia; Mytilida; Mytilidae
Exons: 4
Source: RefSeq, a predicted model, not a curated record
UUGUAUCACUAAGUUAGAAUUUAACGAAAGGGAAAUAACUCCACUUCGGGCGGGGAAUCGUGGAUAAAUUCGUUUUGCAUCGAUGAAAUAAAGAGUCUGUGAAUCAUUUGAGGUUGUCACAGUACAAGGGAAAGGAUAAAUCAAGCAGUGAAUUGAACUCAAAGAUUAGAAAGGAAUUGUAUUUUGUCCUUGCAUAGAAGAAAUAAACACAAUGAAUGUCUAUCGCCAACCAGCGCAGUGGGAAGACAAACGCACAAAAGAUUUACGGAAUCAAGUUACACUACUGAAUACACAUCUUGGUGUACAAAGGUCAAAGUUGUCAUCAACAAUACCAGAACUCGUCCAAUACUGUGAGAAGCAUGCUGUACAAGAUCCUUUCCUAUUUCCAAUUAGAGACAAUCCUUUUAAACCAAUUAGACGACCGUGUUGCAUUAUAUAGAAGAUAAUGGGAUCAAAACAUGAAUGAAUGUGAUAAAUAUGUGAUUCAACAAAUGAUAGAAGUAAUAUAUAUAUUUUCCACAAAGAAGAAAUUCUGUUGUUGUAGCUGUUAAAAUAGUAAAUCGUCAGUGGCAUAGCUGUUAAAGUUGUAUAUUGUCAGUGGCUUCGACGUGCUAUUCAUUGCCUUCAAAACUUUUUAAACAUUAUUAUAGUGCCAUUGCAAAAUAGAAAACCAAGAAAAUAUUUUAAUUUUUUUUCUUCUAAAAAAUGAUUAAAAUUAAUUAUAUACAUGUUUAUUGCUUAAGAAAAAUCAUGCCAAAGUAGAUAUUUGCUUCUGUGCCUUUAAGUGUGGGUGCUAAUAUAGACAUAUUCAAGAUCUUUAUUGUAUUCCUAUAAUAUUUGUGAUUCAUGUGAUGUUUAUAUUUUUUUAUAAUGUGAUUACUUUAUUUUUUAUGAUAAAUCAUCUUUUUGACUAUUUACGCUAGUAAAAUUGCUUGUAAGAUAUUAAUAUUUUUUUUAAUUACUAAUGCUAGUAAUAUUUGCCAGUAAAAUAUAAAUAUUUAAAAAUAAUGAAAAACUUAAUUUCAUAUUAAAUACAGGCAGUUUUAUUGAAAUGAAAAUUAUUAUCAAAGCUAUCCUUUGUUGAAGAUAAACCAUAAAAUUUCAGUAAGUUUUUAAACUUUGAUAUGAAGAAACCUGAUUUACCAUUGCUGUAAAUGAUGCCAUUUUGGAAGAUAUGAUGUAUUUGUGUACAAAGCACAUGGUAACACCUAACAACAAUUUGUGCUUGUUGUGGUUUAUUUAGUAUUUUUUCAUUUCACUCUUUUUAUGUCAUUUAAAGAACACAAUAUUGAAAUAAUGAUUAAUUUUCUGCUCAGCUUUCCUCUAGCUUUCAAUACGGUAAAAUCAUUUAUCUAAGUGAGUUUUAAAUUCACAAUUUAUUUGUAGGGAUCAAAACUGUGUGCAAGAUUUUUUUCAUGCUUUUACCUGUCACUGAUUCUUAUUUUCCAUAAAGAUAAAAUAAACACCAGUGGAUAUUUUCACAAUAUUGUCUUUAUCACCGAUUAGGGAAAAUAUUCUCUUCAUAAAAUCUACAUUUUACAGUACAUUGAUAUGUAUUAGGAGUAUUAUUAUGGUAACUAUAAUUAUUUUACUUUUUAGAUCAGCUUGAACAAUUUUUACUUUAAAUAUAUAUAUAUAUAUAUAUAUAUAUAUAGCUUUUUAUGAAAAAAAUGAAAUUUGUAUUGUGUAAAUUAAUUAUUCAAAUCUUAUGAUAUAUUGUAAUAAAAUAUAGUCAUAUUUUUUAAAUAAAAUAAUUCCUUUCACAUAGGAUCAGAUGGUUGUAAUAUGGCAUUUUAAAUCUAUUUUUUAUUUGGUUAGUAAAAACCACACAUCAAAUUUCUAAUGCUUAGUUUAAAGAUAUUUCGGCUUAAUUAAUUUGUUUACUUUCUGUUAACUUUUUUAAGUCUUCAUCAGACAUUUUUGUAAGUUCCCUUUUUUCUUCUUUGGCAUUGGAAAGUUUUGGGUUAAAGCUUAAAUAUUUGAUUUUAAGAGAACAAAAUUCUGUAAAUUGUAUAUUUUUCUUUGUCAGUAAGAAGUAUUAUCAUUUUACAGCCAAUGAACAGCAUUCAUUAUUAUGUAUGUAUUAGUAUGGAUAUAUACAUGUUUAUUGCAAAUGUCAGAUGCAUUAAUAGGAUCUUUAUAUGAAUUGAUACAGGCUUAAAUCAGAAUUGACACUUUCAAGUUUCUAGAAUUUAUUUUUCGGGAAAGAGUGUUUAUGAACCAGCAGCUAUGAAUGUUUAAGUUAAUUUCCUAUGAAUAAGAAUAGAUGAUGAUGUGUAUAAUGUUGCAGCAUUUCCAUACUGCUGGCCACAUUGUUAUAUAUUUAUAUCAUAUGUAAAUUGAAAUUAAUAUAUGAUUAUAUAUAAAUGUUAUGUAUUUAAAAUGUUUUUUUUUGUCAUUCACAAUUUGGUAGGUUUAAAAGAAGGGGAAAAAAGGACUUUUUUAUUGCAAAUUGCUUUGAAUUUGUUGUUUAUUUCAACAAAUUAUUUUUCUUUAAAAAUGUUUUUUAUUUUUUAUUAUACCUUCUUAUUUGAAAAUCUUCCUUAGGCUACUUUUAUUAGAAAAUUAUUUGUGUAAACAUUAGCCUGGGAUCUUGGCUCACUCCUUGACAGUAGAUAUUGUCAGUCCAGAUCAGUGCUGACAGGAAUUCAAAUGAUUUCUUCCAUGCCUGGCUUUACUGAUUCUAUAAACACUACAGAGAUUAGGCCAUGAUACCAGGCUAUGUUAAUGUUAGGUUAAAUUUUCACAGUCAAAGUUAUCUUUCUUGAAACAAAUAAAAGCAGUUUCUUUUACAGUAGAUGCAUAUUGAAAACUAUCCCCAAGUUUGUUAUUUUUUUUAAUAUCCCACAAAUCACUAAGUUCUUCAAAAUGAUAUAUAUGGAAGGUGAGGGGUGUUAUAUGUAAUGUACAAGAAAUAAAUUGACAAAAAUAAACCUCGUAAAUUUCUGUAAAUUUGCAACUAGAUUAAAUUCACUACAAUUAUAAAACAAUGUAUUUGUUUAUUCACUUUAUACCGUCAUGUUUAUGUAACAUAUUUUUGUCAUUACAUGUAAAGAACCUAAUGAUAUGAAAUCAAAAUAUACUUCAGCAAAGAGCUUACACAUGUGCAAUGUUGUAAUUAAUAUUUGUAAAGGACUCCUGUGCAAUGUAUAUUUAUGUAUAAACAGUUUUUCAGUUGCUUUCUUGUUCAAAAGUCAAAUAAUUAAGCAAAACAUUGUUCUUGUAUUGAGGCAAAAUGUAUAUUACAUGAUAGUGCAGUUCAGGGCUAUUCUUGAAGAAAGAAAGUCAUAAGAGCAUUUGAACUAAAAAACGUGGUGUACCGUUAACACGGUAUUUUUUUGAUAGAUAAAAUAGUACAAUUGAAAGUUGUAAGGGAUUCCAUUAGCCUCUUAGAUUAAAACCAUUAUCCAAGUCAUGAUCAAAAAUGUUUUUUGUUUCUCCUUUUUUCUUGAUCGGGUGUGAAAUGAGAUUGUAAAAGUAAAGAAUUUCUCCAGUGAAAAGAAUGGGUAUGCAAUAAGAUUGUAAAGUAAAGAAUUUCUCCAGUGAAAAGAAUGGGUAUGCAAUAAGAAUAUGUCAAAGUAAUGAAUUUAUGCAUUUUAUACAAGUGAUCUAUUAUAUUCUGAUUUUUUAAAGUGUAAAAUUAAAAAUUUAACCUGUUCAAAAAAUUUAAGAUGAGGUAAAAAAAAAACAACAGGUCCAGUUGAAUGGACCACAUUGUAUUAUCUAAUAGGUACUAAAACAUGAUGAUAUAUGCACAUAUGACAAUGUCACAAUGUCAUAGUGAACAAACCAGAAUGUCAUAAUGAACAAACCACAAUGUCAUAUUAUAUUUGUUGACAAUAACAAGAGUAUUAAAAGAACCAAUGAUUGCCUUGUUUGAUUAUAGUGAUUAAAGUAAUACUGUUUUA